GGGGAAUAUUGCGCAAUGGGCGAAAGCCUGACGCAGCAACGCCGCGUGAGGGAUGACGGCCUUCGGGUUGUAAACCUCUUUCAGCAGGGACGAAGCGAGAGUGACUGUACCUGCAGAAGAAGCGCCGGCUAACUACGUGCCAGCAGCCGCGGUAAUACGUAGGGCGCAAGCGUUGUCCGGAUUUAUUGGGCGUAAAGAGCUCGUAGGCGGUCUGUCGCGUCGGAUGUGAAAACCCGGAGCUCAACUCCGGGCCUGCAUUCGAUACGGGCAGACUUGAGUACUGCAGGGGAGACUGGAAUUCCUGGUGUAGCGGUGGAAUGCGCAGAUAUCAGGAGGAACACCGGUGGCGAAGGCGGGUCUCUGGGCAGAAACUGACGCUGAGGAGCGAAAGCGUGGGGAGCGAAC
Molecule: ribosomal RNA, 405 nt
Filed under: uncultured bacterium
Lineage: Bacteria
Description: bacterial SSU rRNA
Rfam family: Bacterial small subunit ribosomal RNA
Source: RNAcentral